Molecule: ribosomal RNA, 1453 nt
Filed under: Salmonella enterica subsp. enterica serovar Enteritidis
Lineage: Bacteria; Pseudomonadati; Pseudomonadota; Gammaproteobacteria; Enterobacterales; Enterobacteriaceae
Description: partial 23S ribosomal RNA
Rfam family: Bacterial large subunit ribosomal RNA
Source: RNAcentral
UAAUCGGGGCAGGGUGAGUCGACCCCUAAGGCGAGGCCGAAAGGCGUAGUCGAUGGGAAACGGGUUAAUAUUCCCGUACUUGGUGUUACUGCGAAGGGGGGACGGAGAAGGCUAUGUUGGCCGGGCGACGGUUGUCCCGGUUUAAGCGUGUAGGUGUGUGUUCCAGGUAAAUCCGGUUCACUUUAACACUGAGGCGUGACGACGAGGCACUACGGUGCUGAAGCAACAAAUGCCCUGCUUCCAGGAAAAGCCUCUAAGCAUCAGGUAACAUCAAAUCGUACCCCAAACCGACACAGGUGGUCAGGUAGAGAAUACCAAGGCGCUUGAGAGAACUCGGGUGAAGGAACUAGGCAAAAUGGUGCCGUAACUUCGGGAGAAGGCACGCUGACACGUAGGUGAAGUGAUUUACUCAUGGAGCUGAAGUCAGUCGAAGAUACCAGCUGGCUGCAACUGUUUAUUAAAAACACAGCACUGUGCAAACACGAAAGUGGACGUAUACGGUGUGACGCCUGCCCGGUGCCGGAAGGUUAAUUGAUGGGGUCAGCGCAAGCGAAGCUCCUGAUCGAAGCCCCGGUAAACGGCGGCCGUAACUAUAACGGUCCUAAGGUAGCGAAAUUCCUUGUCGGGUAAGUUCCGACCUGCACGAAUGGCGUAAUGAUGGCCAGGCUGUCUCCACCCGAGACUCAGUGAAAUUGAACUCGCUGUGAAGAUGCAGUGUACCCGCGGCAAGACGGAAAGACCCCGUGAACCUUUACUAUAGCUUGACACUGAACAUUGAGCCUUGAUGUGUAGGAUAGGUGGGAGGCUUUGAAGUGUGGACGCCAGUCUGCAUGGAGCCGACCUUGAAAUACCACCCUUUAAUGUUUGAUGUUCUAACGUGGACCCGUUACCCGGGUUGCGGACAGUGUCUGGUGGGUAGUUUGACUGGGGCGGUCUCCUCCUAAAGAGUAACGGAGGAGCACGAAGGUUGGCUAAUCCUGGUCGGACAUCAGGAGGUUAGUGCAAUGGCAUAAGCCAGCUUGACUGCGAGCGUGACGGCGCGAGCAGGUGCGAAAGCAGGUCAUAGUGAUCCGGUGGUUCUGAAUGGAAGGGCCAUCGCUCAACGGAUAAAAGGUACUCCGGGGAUAACAGGCUGAUACCGCCCAAGAGUUCAUAUCGACGGCGGUGUUUGGCACCUCGAUGUCGGCUCAUCACAUCCUGGGGCUGAAGUAGGUCCCAAGGGUAUGGCUGUUCGCCAUUUAAAGUGGUACGCGAGCUGGGUUUAGAACGUCGUGAGACAGUUCGGUCCCUAUCUGCCGUGGGCGCUGGAGAACUGAGGGGGGCUGCUCCUAGUACGAGAGGACCGGAGUGGACGCAUCACUGGUGUUCGGGUUGUCAUGCCAAUGGCACUGCCCGGUAGCUAAAUGCGGAAGAGAUAAGUGCUGAAAGCAUCUAAGCACGAAACUUGCCCCGA